This 20-nucleotide small nuclear RNA is filed under the name Arabidopsis thaliana (thale cress). RNAcentral describes it as "snRNA_11148". Lineage: Eukaryota; Viridiplantae; Streptophyta; Magnoliopsida; Brassicales; Brassicaceae. The record is from RNAcentral.
UAGGAGGGCGCGGCGGUCGC